UACGUAGGUGGCAAGCGUUGUCCGGAUUUACUGGGCGUAAAGAGCGCGCAGGCGGUCGUUCAAGUCGCGUGUGAAAGCCCCCGGCUCAACUGGGGAGGGUCACGCGAUACUGAUCGACUCGAAGGCAGGAGAGGGAAGUGGAAUUCCCGGUGUAGUGGUGAAAUGUGUAGAUAUCGGGAGGAACACCAGUGGCGAAGGCGACUUCCUGGCCUGUUCUUGACGCUGAGGCGCGAAAGCUAGGGGAGCAAACGGG
RNAcentral lists this ribosomal RNA (253 nucleotides) under uncultured bacterium. Its description in RNAcentral is "partial 16S ribosomal RNA". It matches the Rfam family "Bacterial small subunit ribosomal RNA", at positions 524 to 776 of the family's 1533-position model. The record is from RNAcentral.